This 110-nucleotide non-coding RNA is filed under the name Clostridium sp. RNAcentral's name for it is "Glycine sequence". It matches the Rfam family "Glycine riboswitch aptamer". Rfam says of the family: This family represents the bacterial glycine riboswitch. RNAcentral also lists the same sequence under 1 other name. Lineage: Bacteria; Bacillati; Bacillota; Clostridia; Eubacteriales; Clostridiaceae. The record is from RNAcentral.
GUGAAGGGUAUAAGAGAGAGCUUAAAGUUUUAAGCCGCCGAAGGGACAAACUUUAUUUUAUCCCAAUGAAAUAAAGUGAAAUUCUCAGGCAAAGGGAUUAUAUCUGGAUA